Molecule: ribosomal RNA, 2829 nt
Filed under: Phycisphaerales bacterium
Lineage: Bacteria; Pseudomonadati; Planctomycetota; Phycisphaerae; Phycisphaerales
Description: bacterial LSU rRNA
Rfam family: Bacterial large subunit ribosomal RNA
Source: RNAcentral
AUAUGGUCAAGUUACUAAGAGUGUAUGGGGGAUGUCUAGGUGUCGAGAGGCGAUGAAGGACGUGGCUGACUGCGAUAAGUUCGGGGCAGGUGUCUAGCAACCGUUAAUCCCGAAAUGUCCGAAUGGGGAAACCCUGUCACAUGAAAGUGUGAUAAUCUCCGGCUGAAUGUAUAGGCCGGAUGAAGCUAACGCAGAGAACUGAAACAUCUCAGUACCUGUAGGAAAAGAAAUCAAUUGAGACUCCGUCAGUAGCGGCGAGCGAACGCGGACCAGCCCAAACCGGUCUUCGGACCGGGGUUGCGGGCAUCGGUUAGGAGUUACAAAGGCAUCGCAAGUUGAAUCAGCUGGAAAGCUGAACCGUAGAAGGUGAUAGUCCUGUAGAUAAAAGCGAGAGCCCUCCGUUAUGCCGAUGUUCCAGAGUAGCACGGAGCUCGUGAAACUCCGUGUGAAUCAGGGGAGACCACUCUCCAAGGCUAAGUACUACUCGACAACCGAUAGUGAAAAAGUAGCGCGAGCGAAAGAUGAAAACAACCCCUAUUAGGGGAGUUAAAAGAAGCUGAAACCAUACACUUACCAGUUGUAGGAGGACUAUGAUACAUUUCGAUGUAUAAUGUCUGACUACGUGCCUUUUGCAUAAUGAGCCGGCGAGUUACCGUUUGUGGCAAGGUUAAUCCUUUAAAGGGAGUAGCCGUAGCGAAAGCGAGUCUGAAUAGGGCGAUUUAGUCGCAGGUGGUAGACGCGAAACCAAGUGAUCUACGCAUGGCCAGGUUGAAGGAGGUGUAAAAAUCUCUGGAGGACCGAACCCAUUAACGUUGAAAAGUUACGGGAUGAGCUGUGCGGAGGAGUAAAAGUCUAAUCAAACUUGGAGAUAUCUCGUACUCUCCGAAAUAGCUUUUGGGCUAGCCUCGAGUAAAUUGUUUGACGGGGGUAGAGCUACUGAAUGGGGAUAAGGAGCUACCCGCUUGCUUUCCCCAACCAAACUCCGAAUACCGUUAAAUUUACCUCGGGAGUCAGUCUGCGGGUGAUAACAUUCGUGGUCAAAAGGGAAACAACCCAGACCGCCAGCUAAGGUCCCAAAUUUGAGCUAAGUUCAUAAGGAAGUCGAAUUGCUAUGACAGUCAGGAUGUUGGCUUAGAAGCAGCCACCAUUUAAAAAGUGCGUAAUAGCUUACUGACCGAGCAGUUUGGUGCCGAUAAUGAACGGGAAUUAAGUUCAAAACCGAAGCUGCGGAUUUUAUUUAAUCCUUCGGGAUUAUUUAAAGUGGUAGGAGAGCGUAAUAACCAGCGUUGAAGCGAUACGAUAACGAGUCGUGGAGCGGUUAUUAGUGAUUAUGCCGGCAUGAGUAACGAUAAAACAGGUGAGAAUCCUGUUCGCCGUAAACCUAAGGUUUCCUGGGGAAGGUAAAUCCGCCCAGGGUUAGUCGGUCCCUUAGUCGAGGCUGAAAGGCGUAGACGAUGGACAGCAGGUUAAUAUUCCUGCACUAUGUUGAUUGACGUAAGCAGUGACGCGUUUUUGAUCUUUAUCCCGUGAUUAGUCGUGCGGGUGCCGAAAGGCCGAGGACGCUUUUGAUUCCGAAGUAAAGUUAGAAAACGCCAAGAAAUAGCUGCCCAAGAUUGAUAUCAAUGUAACCGUACUAAAACUGACACAGGUAGGUGAGGAGAAUAUCCUCAGGCGCUCGAGAUANNUUGAGGGCGCAGAGAAAUGGCUCUGGCGACUGUUUAUCAAAAACACAGUUCUGUGCUAACACGUAAAGUGGAUGUAUACAGAAUGACGCGUGCUCGGUGCCGGAAGGUUAAGGAAGUCGGUCAAUGGGAGUAAUCCUGUGAAGCUGACGACCGAAGCCCCGGUAAACAGCGGCCGUAACUAUGACGGUCCUAAGGUAGCGAAGUUCCUUGUCGGGUAAGUUCCGACGUGCAUGAACCGCGUAACGACUGGAGCAGUGUCUCAAGGACGGACUCGGUGAAAUUAUAUUUGUGGUGAAGAUACCACAUACCCGCAGCAAGACGGAAAGACCCCGUGAACCUUUACUGUAACCUGGUACUGACACCUGUCAUACCAUGCGUAGGAUAGGUAGGAGGCUUUGAUCUGGCGUUUCCGGACGUCAGGGAGCCAACGUUGAAAUACUACCCUUGUUAUGUUAGUUGUCUAACCAUAUUCCGUGAAUCCGGAUAUGGGACAAUGCUAGGCGGGCAGUUUGACUGGGGCGGUCUCCUCCCAAAUUGUAACGGAGGAGUUCAAAGGUACCCUCAGCGUGGUUGGCAAUCACGCAUAGAGCGCAUAGGCAUAAGGGUGCUUAACUGCGAGACUUAUGAGUCAAGCAGAUACGAAAGUAGGACUAAGUGAUCCGGUGGUUCUGAGUGGAAGGGCCAUCGCUCAUCAGACAAAAGGUACUCUGGGGAUAACAGGCUUAUCGCACCCGAGCGUCCAUAGCGGCGGUGCGGUUUGGCACCUCGAUGUCGGCCCAUCACAUCCUGGGGCUGAAGGUGNNUUAAAGUGGUACGCGAGCUGGGUUCAGACCGGCGUGAGCCAGGUCGGUCCCUAUCUGCUGUGGGCGUAGGAAUCUUGAGAGGAUAUUUCUCUAGUACGAGAGGACUGAGAAGUACCGACCUCUGGUGUACCGGUUGUCCUGCUAAGGGCACAGCCGGGUAGCUAAGUCGGGAAAGGAUAAACGCUGAAAGCAUCUAAGCGUGAAGCCCACCUCAAGAUUAGGAUUCCUUUGAUCUUCGGAUCAUGAAGAGCCCUCAUAGACUAUGAGGUUGAUAGGCCGGAUGUGUAAGGCGAGAGAUCGCUUCAGCUAACCGGUACUAACGCUCAAACGCUUGACCAUAU